GCCUCAUGAAAUGGCUUACACCCACAUACCCGGUAAAUUACACACUUUGAUGUUCUGCUCCUUCUCCUGACGGUCACGGUAACGAUGUCUGCGCCUCCGUUUCUGUGGAUGUCCAGCGUGAGACACAACUUGAAUCCAACCAGACUGAACUCUGACUCCAGGGACGGACGAGCCUGAAGGACACAGCUGUGAUGACCAAGUUCUGUCUCUUAUGACAAAGCAGAAAUAUAAAACACUGGGUUCUUAUCUAAAGUGUAUCAAAUCAGAUCUCCACCAUGUUGCUGCUGAGGACAUCAGGGACGGACGAGCCUGAAGGACACAGCUGUGAUGACCAAUUGACCAUGUUUUGUCUCUUAUGGCAAAGCAGAAAUAUUAAACACUGGGUUCUUAUCUAAAGUGUAUCAAAUCAGAAAGCAAAAGAUACACAUUGUUGUAAUAAGUUUUUAUUAUUUUAACCAACCAUAAUAAAGAUAGAAAUGAA
Molecule: long non-coding RNA, 481 nt
Organism: Pleuronectes platessa (European plaice)
Lineage: Eukaryota; Metazoa; Chordata; Actinopteri; Pleuronectiformes; Pleuronectidae
Exons: 4
Source: RefSeq, a predicted model, not a curated record